GCACGGCCUCCGCCGAGUCCGCAGCGCCGCCGCGCGCCCGGAGCCGGGGACCCACCGAACCCGGGGUGAAUCGGCCGACUCCCGCGCACGGGAGCGCCGUAGGGCAAACCUUCCGAAGCACCUCGCCCGAACCCGACAGCUAACCCGGUAGGCGGAGUACGGGAAGGAGU
RNAcentral lists this small RNA (170 nucleotides) under Streptomyces sviceus. Its description in RNAcentral is "c-di-AMP sequence". It matches the Rfam family "c-di-AMP riboswitch aptamer (ydaO/yuaA leader)". From Rfam's summary of the family: This family represents a conserved RNA structure found upstream of the ydaO and yuaA genes in Bacillus subtilis and related genes in other bacteria. The ydaO/yuaA element is thought to act as a genetic "off" switch for the ydaO and yuaA genes in its native state. The record is from RNAcentral. Lineage: Bacteria; Bacillati; Actinomycetota; Actinomycetes; Kitasatosporales; Streptomycetaceae.